Molecule: microRNA, 21 nt
Filed under: Ananas comosus (pineapple)
Lineage: Eukaryota; Viridiplantae; Streptophyta; Magnoliopsida; Poales; Bromeliaceae
Description: microRNA s0819_c112a
Source: RNAcentral
AGGGCUAUAGCUCAGUUAGGU